ACUCAGUGAAAUUGAACUCGCUGUGAAGAUGCAGUGUACCCGCGGCAAGACGGAAAGACCCCGUGAACCUUUACUAUAGCUUGACACUGAACAUUGAGCCUUGAUGUGUAGGAUAGGUGGGAGGCUUUGAAGUGUGGACGCCAGUCUGCAUGGAGCCGACCUUGAAAUACCACCCUUUAAUGUUUGAUGUUCUAACGUUGACCCGUAAUCCGGGUUGCGGACAGUGUCUGGUGGGUAGUUUGACUGGGGCGGUCUCCUCCUAAAGAGUAACGGAGGAGCACGAAGGUUGGCUAAUCCUGGUCGGACAUCAGGAGGUUAGUGCAAUGGCAUAAGC
This 334-nucleotide ribosomal RNA is filed under the name Escherichia coli. RNAcentral's name for it is "partial 23S ribosomal RNA". It matches the Rfam family "Bacterial large subunit ribosomal RNA", at positions 2031 to 2364 of the family's 2925-position model. Lineage: Bacteria; Pseudomonadati; Pseudomonadota; Gammaproteobacteria; Enterobacterales; Enterobacteriaceae. The record is from RNAcentral.